This 477-nucleotide ribosomal RNA is filed under the name uncultured bacterium. Its description in RNAcentral is "partial 16S ribosomal RNA". It matches the Rfam family "Bacterial small subunit ribosomal RNA", at positions 30 to 507 of the family's 1533-position model. The record is from RNAcentral.
AUUGAACGCUGGCGGCAUGCCUUACACAUGCAAGUCGAACGGUAACAGGUUAAGCUGUCGAGUGGCGAACGGGUGAGUAAUACAUCGGAACGUGCCCAGUAGGGGGGGAUAGCCCGGCGAAAGCCGGAUUAAUACCGCAUACGACCUAAGGGCGAAAGGGGUGGAUCGCAAGACCUCUCGCUAUUGGAGCGGCCGCUGUCAGAUUAGCUAGUUGGUGGGGUAAAAGCUCACCAAGGCGACGAUCUGUAGCUGGUCUGAGAGGACGACCAGCCACACUGGGACUGAGACACGGCCCAGACUCCUACGGGAGGCAGCAGUGGGGAAUUUUGGACAAUGGGCGCAAGCCUGAUCCAGCCAUGCCGCGUGCGGGAAGAAGGCCUUCGGGUUGUAAACCGCUUUUGUCAGGGAAGAAAUCCUUUGGGUUAAUACCUCGGGGGGAUGACGGUACCUGAAGAAUAAGCACCGGCUAACUACGUG